RNAcentral lists this ribosomal RNA (775 nucleotides) under Escherichia coli. Its description in RNAcentral is "partial 23S ribosomal RNA". It matches the Rfam family "Bacterial large subunit ribosomal RNA", at positions 2156 to 2925 of the family's 2925-position model. Lineage: Bacteria; Pseudomonadati; Pseudomonadota; Gammaproteobacteria; Enterobacterales; Enterobacteriaceae. The record is from RNAcentral.
UUUGAAGUGUGGACGCCAGUCUGCAUGGAGCCGACCUUGAAAUACCACCCUUUAAUGUUUGAUGUUCUAACGUUGACCCGUGAUCCGGGUUGCGGACAGUGUCUGGUGGGUAGUUUGACUGGGGCGGUCUCCUCCUAAAGAGUAACGGAGGAGCACGAAGGUUGGCUAAUCCUGGUCGGACAUCAGGAGGUUAGUGCAAUGGCAUAAGCCAGCUUGACUGCGAGCGUGACGGCGCGAGCAGGUGCGAAAGCAGGUCAUAGUGAUCCGGUGGUUCUGAAUGGAAGGGCCAUCGCUCAACGGAUAAAAGGUACUCCGGGGAUAACAGGCUGAUACCGCCCAAGAGUUCAUAUCGACGGCGGUGUUUGGCACCUCGAUGUCGGCUCAUCACAUCCUGGGGCUGAAGUAGGUCCCAAGGGUAUGGCUGUUCGCCAUUUAAAGUGGUACGCGAGCUGGGUUUAGAACGUCGUGAGACAGUUCGGUCCCUAUCUGCCGUGGGCGCUGGAGAAUUGAGGGGGGCUGCUCCUAGUACGAGAGGACCGGAGUGGACGCAUCACUGGUGUUCGGAUUGUCAUGCCAAUGGCACUGCCCGGUAGCUAAAUGCGGAAGAGAUAAGUGCUGAAAGCAUCUAAGCACGAAACUUGCCCCGAGAUGAGUUCUCCCUGACUCCUUGAGAGUCCUGAAGGAACGUUGAAGACGACGACGUUGAUAGGCCGGGUGUGUAAGCGCAGCGAUGCGUUGAGCUAACCGGUACUAAUGAACCGUGAGGCUUAACCUU